Molecule: ribosomal RNA, 254 nt
Filed under: uncultured bacterium
Lineage: Bacteria
Description: partial 16S ribosomal RNA
Rfam family: Bacterial small subunit ribosomal RNA
Source: RNAcentral
UACGUAGGGUGCUAGCGUUGUCCGGAUUUAUUGGGCGUAAAGGGCUCGUAGGCGGCGUGUCGCGUCGGGAGUGAAAGCCCGCUGCUUAACGGCGGGUUGGCUUCCGGUACGGGCAUCGCUGGAGUGCGGCAGGGGAGACUGGAAUCCCUGGUGUAGCGGUGGAAUGCGCAGAUAUUCGGAAGAACACCAGUGGCGAAGGCGGCUCACUGGACCGGUAUUGACGCUGAGGUGCGAAAGCGUGGGGAGCAAACAGG